GAGUGUUUUUGGAGAGGAAGUGCCCAUCUGUAGUCAAUAGCUAUUGUUCUCAUGGAACCACAUGCCGGCCUCCCUGCAGCCUGCCGAACUGCGUCACGACACUGCAGUAUCAGCCCCUUUGAAUAAAGACUCCCUGUUGAACCAGAUUUACCCACCCUACCAUUUUCACUGUCAUUUGAUUAUCUGCUUGUAUUUUCUGGCUGUGCUAAUGCAGUCUUUUAGCAGUGUUAUCAGAGAAUCCCUAUGGCUCGAUACCUUGCAAAGCUGGACAGAUCUCCUUGUGUUUGCUUGUUUUCUUCAUUGCCCUCUCCAUUCGCUGGCACAUACAAUGGCAACUCUGGGAUUUCUGACCCUGAACUAAACUGCUGCAGGGCUGAGCGAGAGACUUGGCAGCUUUUGCAGGUAAUCUUUGGGAAUGGGGGUACUAUUCUUGUGUAUAGAGCUGCAGGUUACU
Molecule: long non-coding RNA, 454 nt
Organism: Pezoporus flaviventris
Lineage: Eukaryota; Metazoa; Chordata; Aves; Psittaciformes; Psittacidae
Exons: 3
Source: RefSeq, a predicted model, not a curated record